RNAcentral lists this ribosomal RNA (403 nucleotides) under uncultured bacterium. Its description in RNAcentral is "bacterial SSU rRNA". It matches the Rfam family "Bacterial small subunit ribosomal RNA", at positions 355 to 775 of the family's 1533-position model. The record is from RNAcentral.
UAGGGAGUAUUAGUAAUGGGCGAAAGCCUGAACUAGCAACGCCGCGUGUGCGAAGAAGGCCUUCGGGUUGUAAAGCACUUUUUGAGAGGAUGAGGAAGGACGGUACUCUCAGAAUAAGUCUCGGCUAACUACGUGCCAGCAGCCGCGGUAACACGUAGGAGGCGAACGUUAUCCGGAUUUACUGGGCGUAAAGCGCGUGUAGGUGGUUUGGUAAGUAGGGCGUGAAAGCUCCUGGCUCAACUGGGAGAGGCCGUUCUAAACUGCCGAACUAGAGGAUGGUAGAGGGAGGUGGAAUUCCGGGUGUAGCGGUGGAAUGCGCAGAUAUCCGGAGGAACACCAGUGGCGAAGGCGGCCUCCUGGACCACUCCUGACACUCAGACGCGAAGGCUAGGGUAGCAAACGG